Molecule: non-coding RNA, 70 nt
Organism: Phrynosoma platyrhinos (Desert horned lizard)
Lineage: Eukaryota; Metazoa; Chordata; Lepidosauria; Squamata; Phrynosomatidae
Source: the annotation of a GenBank genome assembly
CUUAGUAUGGUACAGUGGUUUGAGGAUUAGACUGUGACUCUGGAGACCAGGGUUCAAAUCCCUACUCAAG